CUACGGGGAGGCAGCAGUAGGGAAUCUUCCACAAUGGGCGCAAGCCUGAUGGAGCAACACCGCGUGAGUGAAGAAGGGUUUCGGCUCGUAAAGCUCUGUUGUUUAAAGAAGAACACGUAUGAGAGUAACUGUUCAUACGUUGACGGUAUUUAACCAGAAAGUCACGGCUAACUACGUGCCAGCAGCCGCGGUAAUACGUAGGUGGCAAGCGUUAUCCGGAUUUAUUGGGCGUAAAGAGAGUGCAGGCGGUUUUCUAAGUCUGAUGUGAAAGCCUUCGGCUUAACCGGAGAAGUGCAUCGGAAACUGGAUAACUUGAGUGCAGAAGAGGGUAGUGGAACUCCAUGUGUAGCGGUGGAAUGCGUAGAUAUAUGGAAGAACACCAGUGGCGAAGGCGGCUACCUGGUCUGCAACUGACGCUGAGACUCGAAAGCAUGGGUAGCGAACAGGAUUAGAUACCCUGGUAG
Molecule: ribosomal RNA, 464 nt
Filed under: uncultured bacterium
Lineage: Bacteria
Description: bacterial SSU rRNA
Rfam family: Bacterial small subunit ribosomal RNA
Source: RNAcentral